Long non-coding RNA from Clupea harengus (Atlantic herring), 1287 nucleotides. NCBI's taxonomy places the organism in Eukaryota, Metazoa, Chordata, Actinopteri, Clupeiformes, Clupeidae. The record is from Ensembl.
ACACACACACACACACACACACUACACACACACACUACACGAGACCAUCUUAGUCUCUCUUCUCACACGUAAAGGGUGUGAUCUUCUGAUUCAGGAGUGGCUGAUUCAUGUCUUCAAUACAAACAAAACAGGAGAAAUGACAUGCUGGAGUAUGCAAAAACAAUAAACAAGAACAAACAGACAAACAAACAAAAGCGAUAUACUUUCAGUUAGUCUUUACAAAGUGACCUUGUGUUAAUGGAAUAACAGCAUGCAUUGAGAGACCUCAAACACAACAGCUGACUCUGAAAGGCUCAUAUCUAGUAGACCCACAACCAUGCCAUACCUGGGCCAUAUCAGGGCCAUAUCUGGGCCAUAUCAGGGCCAUACCUAUGCCAUAUCAGGGCCAUACUACCUAUGCCAUAUCAGGGCCAUAUCUGGGCCAUAUCAGGGCCAUAUCCAGGCCUAUACUGGUGCCAAAUCAGGAGCAGAUUUAUGGCCUGUUUCCUGCUAAGACCUGGGGCCAGCCCAAGGCUUUCCCUCUGGCAUCAGCACCAGAUGACUGGGCCCUCUGGCAUCAGCACCAGAUAACUGGGCCCUCUGUUUCCAUUAGGAGGUGUGAUACGCUUAGAGAUGGACUGGGGCCACAUCAGGUGCAGCUUUAGUGGGCCCGGGCCGGAUGCAGGCCGGAUGCAGGCCAGAUGCAGGCCAGAUGCAGGCCAGAUGCAGGCCGGAUGCAGGCCAGUUCUGAGUCAGAUGCAGGCCAGAUGCAGGCCAGUUCUGAGUCAGAUGCAGGCCAGAUGCAGGCCAGUUCUGAGUCAGAUGCAGGCCAGAUGCAGGCCAGAUGCAGGCCAGUUCUGAGUCAUGGGCUACUCCAGAGUCAGCUGCUGAGGUCUGAGCUGGUUUUGGCAAAGAGGGUUAUAGAGCACUAAUGCUGAGAGGAGCAACACAUGUCACAGGACGGAGAUGCAACAAUCAUCACACACACACACACACACACACACACACACACACACACACACACGCGCGCGCACGCACGCGCGCGCACACACACACACACACACACACACACACACACACACACACACACACACACACACACACACACACGAGCGCACACGCAAGCACAUGCACACUUGCACACGCAGGCACACACACACACACACACCCGCACGUGCACACGCACGGACACACACACGGAGCGUCGGUGUCCUUCACUUUGACGGUUAUGGCACAUUUUUGCUCCUGCUGGUGUGAUGUGAGUGGGGCAGCAAGAGCUCCUCUGCCGUGAGUGAGAGAGUGUGUGAG